CGGGCCUUGUACACACCGCCCGUCACACCAUGGGAGCCGGUAAUACCCGAAGUCAGUAGUCCAACCACGUGAGGACGCUGCCGAAGGUAGGAUUGGCGACUGGGGUGAAGUCGUAACAAGGUAGC
Molecule: ribosomal RNA, 125 nt
Filed under: uncultured bacterium
Lineage: Bacteria
Description: partial 16S ribosomal RNA
Rfam family: Bacterial small subunit ribosomal RNA
Source: RNAcentral